CCUGUUGCACAAAAGUAGAAUUAAGACAUCCGGGAUAAAUGACUCAGCUGAGCUCAAUGAAGCCAAAACAUGUGCCCAGGCUUAAUUGGCUGCACAAAGACCAAGCCAGGAUGAGCAGACACGGAUUCAUUAAGCCAGGUGAAACCAAUCCUGGAUAGGUGCGCGCUCACGGCUCACUCAAAUAGACCCCGCCACAGAUCACAGAUUAACUGAUUUACCAUGGCAACUAGAGCCGCGUACUUUUCCCCGUCGGAAGCACAAAUCCUCAUGGAGGCAUACGAGGAGGUAAAAGAUAUAAUUAAGAAGAAAGGCAACACCGCCACAGUGAUAAAGCAAAGAGAAAAAGCGUGGCAAAGUAUUGCAGACCGCCUGAAUGCAUUAAACAUGAACGGGCCAAAACGGACAUGGCAGCAGGUCAAAAUCAAAUACAAGAACAUUCUGCAGAAUGGUAUGGUCCCUGACUAAUAUUUAACAAAGCACAAGCAUAUAUUGUACCCAGAAGGUGCCUGCUCACACAUUGUCUGUACUGUUUUAGCAGUGAAAAAGAAUACCCACAGACAAGGCACGGGUGGUGGGUCACCAAAGGCUGACCUUACCCCAGCAGAGGACAUGGCCUUGGAGCUAAAUAAAGGCAGGCCCGUCUUAGAGGGGAUCCCUGGGGGAAAGAGACGAGCAUAGGUUCCUCCCAAGAUGCCACCCGCUUCAUUCAAGUGUCUGGCAGCACUGUGUUCCUGUUAGAGCCACCAGCACAAGCACCAGACGAUGCUGAUCCAGGUGAAGGCCCCAGUGCAGCAGCAACAGCACAUGAUGGAGACGAUGAUGAUGAGGAGGAGACCAUCUCUCUGGAUUCCAGAAGGCAUGAGGUAUCAUGGACCCAGAUGCUAUACAGUGGGAAAACCAUCCUGGCAACAUAGUGCGUAUUAAUAAAAGGACACCACAUCCUGCCAAAUUCCAGCUGCGCUAAUUGUAUUGUGUUCACAGAGCUCACAAGCUAUCAGAAAGUUGUAUGGCAACCACCUCCGGCGCCAAAUAGAACUGGCAGACAUAGACAUUCAGUACAAGAAGAAAAAGAUGGAAAAUCUUGCACUGGAGUCCGAAAUAAAAAGAGGACAAUUAGGAAACUGGACCUUGAAAUAAAAAAACUUGAGAGGGAGGUGAGAUAUGCCUUCAAUGUACACUGUAUGCUAACUGUAACACAAAUGUAUUAAUCAUUAUUUGUAUUUCCUCCCCCAGCUCCAAGAAGAUGACACAGCUCAAAAUAAAAAUUAGGUAUAUUCUCGUAAAGUCAAGUGAGCCAUGACAUAUGAGCUCUUAUUGUGAGCACACA
This is a long non-coding RNA of Oncorhynchus keta (chum salmon), 1327 nucleotides long. RefSeq lists it as uncharacterized. The record is from RefSeq and is a predicted model, not a curated record. Lineage: Eukaryota; Metazoa; Chordata; Actinopteri; Salmoniformes; Salmonidae. The transcript has 5 exons.